This 2903-nucleotide ribosomal RNA is filed under the name Enterobacter cancerogenus. RNAcentral describes it as "ribosomal RNA 23s_rRNA". It matches the Rfam family "Bacterial large subunit ribosomal RNA". Lineage: Bacteria; Pseudomonadati; Pseudomonadota; Gammaproteobacteria; Enterobacterales; Enterobacteriaceae. The record is from RNAcentral.
UUAAGCGACUAAGCGUACACGGUGGAUGCCCUGGCAGUCAGAGGCGAUGAAGGACGUGCUAAUCUGCGAAAAGCGACGGCGAGGUGAUAUGAACCCUUGACCCGUCGAUGUCCGAAUGGGGAAACCCAGUGCAAUCCGUUGCACUAUCGUUAACUGAAUACAUAGGUUAACGAGGCGAACCGGGGGAACUGAAACAUCUAAGUACCCCGAGGAAAAGAAAUCAACCGAGAUUCCCCCAGUAGCGGCGAGCGAACGGGGAGCAGCCCGGAGUCUGAAUCAGCUUGUGUGUUAGUGGAACGGUCUGGAAAGUCCGACGGUACAGGGUGAUAGUCCCGUACACGAAAGCACACUUGCUGUGAACUCGAAGAGUAGGGCGGGACACGUGGUAUCCUGUCUGAAUAUGGGGGGACCAUCCUCCAAGGCUAAAUACUCCUGACUGACCGAUAGUGAACCAGUACCGUGAGGGAAAGGCGAAAAGAACCCCGGCGAGGGGAGUGAAAAAGAACCUGAAACCGUGUACGUACAAGCAGUGGGAGCCUCUUUAUGGGGUGACUGCGUACCUUUUGUAUAAUGGGUCAGCGACUUAUAUUCUGUAGCAAGGUUAACCGUAUAGGGGAGCCGAAGGGAAACCGAGUCUUAACUGGGCGUUAAGUUGCAGGGUAUAGACCCGAAACCCGGUGAUCUAGCCAUGGGCAGGUUGAAGGUUGGGUAACACUAACUGGAGGACCGAACCGACUAAUGUUGAAAAAUUAGCGGAUGACCUGUGGCUGGGGGUGAAAGGCCAAUCAAACCGGGAGAUAGCUGGUUCUCCCCGAAAGCUAUUUAGGUAGCGCCUCGUGAACUCAUCUUCGGGGGUAGAGCACUGUUUCGGCUAGGGGGCCAUCCCGGCUUACCAACCCGAUGCAAACUACGAAUACCGAAGAAUGUUAUCACGGGAGACACACGGCGGGUGCUAACGUCCGUCGUGAAGAGGGAAACAACCCAGACCGCCAGCUAAGGUCCCAAAGUCAUGGUUAAGUGGGAAACGAUGUGGGAAGGCACAGACAGCCAGGAUGUUGGCUUAGAAGCAGCCAUCAUUUAAAGAAAGCGUAAUAGCUCACUGGUCGAGUCGGCCUGCGCGGAAGAUGUAACGGGGCUAAACCAUGCACCGAAGCUGCGGCAGCGACGCUUAUGCGUUGUUGGGUAGGGGAGCGUUCUGUAAGCCGUUGAAGGUGUGCUGUGAGGCAUGCUGGAGGUAUCAGAAGUGCGAAUGCUGACAUAAGUAACGAUAAAGCGGGUGAAAAGCCCGCUCGCCGGAAGACCAAGGGUUCCUGUCCAACGUUAAUCGGGGCAGGGUGAGUCGACCCCUAAGGCGAGGCCGAAAGGCGUAGUCGAUGGGAAACAGGUUAAUAUUCCUGUACUUGGUGUUACUGCGAAGGGGGGACGGAGAAGGCUAUGUUAGCCGGGCGACGGUUGUCCCGGUUUAAGCAUGUAGGCGGAGGUUCCAGGUAAAUCCGGUACCUUUUAACGCUGAGGUGUGAUGACGAGGCACUACGGUGCUGAAGUAACAAAUGCCCUGCUUCCAGGAAAAGCCUCUAAGCAUCAGGUAACACGAAAUCGUACCCCAAACCGACACAGGUGGUCAGGUAGAGAAUACCAAGGCGCUUGAGAGAACUCGGGUGAAGGAACUAGGCAAAAUGGUGCCGUAACUUCGGGAGAAGGCACGCUGAUAUGUAGGUGAAGUCCCUGCGGAUGGAGCUGAAAUCAGUCGAAGAUACCAGCUGGCUGCAACUGUUUAUUAAAAACACAGCACUGUGCAAACACGAAAGUGGACGUAUACGGUGUGACGCCUGCCCGGUGCCGGAAGGUUAAUUGAUGGGGUUAGCGGCAACGCGAAGCUCUUGAUCGAAGCCCCGGUAAACGGCGGCCGUAACUAUAACGGUCCUAAGGUAGCGAAAUUCCUUGUCGGGUAAGUUCCGACCUGCACGAAUGGCGUAAUGAUGGCCAGGCUGUCUCCACCCGAGACUCAGUGAAAUUGAACUCGCUGUGAAGAUGCAGUGUACCCGCGGCAAGACGGAAAGACCCCGUGAACCUUUACUAUAGCUUGACACUGAACACUGGUCCUUGAUGUGUAGGAUAGGUGGGAGGCUUUGAAGCGUGGACGCCAGUCUGCGUGGAGCCAUCCUUGAAAUACCACCCUUUAAUGGCUGGUGUUCUAACGUUGACCCGUAAUCCGGGUUGCGGACAGUGUCUGGUGGGUAGUUUGACUGGGGCGGUCUCCUCCCAAAGAGUAACGGAGGAGCACGAAGGUUAGCUAAUCCUGGUCGGACAUCAGGAGGUUAGUGCAAUGGCAUAAGCUAGCUUGACUGCGAGAGUGACGGCUCGAGCAGGUGCGAAAGCAGGUCAUAGUGAUCCGGUGGUUCUGAAUGGAAGGGCCAUCGCUCAACGGAUAAAAGGUACUCCGGGGAUAACAGGCUGAUACCGCCCAAGAGUUCAUAUCGACGGCGGUGUUUGGCACCUCGAUGUCGGCUCAUCACAUCCUGGGGCUGAAGUAGGUCCCAAGGGUAUGGCUGUUCGCCAUUUAAAGUGGUACGCGAGCUGGGUUUAGAACGUCGUGAGACAGUUCGGUCCCUAUCUGCCGUGGGCGCUGGAGAAUUGAGGGGGGCUGCUCCUAGUACGAGAGGACCGGAGUGGACGCAUCACUGGUGUUCGGGUUGUCAUGCCAAUGGCACUGCCCGGUAGCUAAAUGCGGAAGAGAUAAGUGCUGAAAGCAUCUAAGCACGAAACUUGCCCCGAGAUGAGUUCUCCCUGAGACUUUAAGUCUCCUGAAGGAACGUUGAAGACUACGACGUUGAUAGGUCGGGUGUGUAAGCGCAGCGAUGCGUUGAGCUAACCGAUACUAAUGAACCGUGAGGCUUAACCUU